RNAcentral lists this long non-coding RNA (1808 nucleotides) under Phasianus colchicus (ring-necked pheasant). Its description in RNAcentral is "lncRNA (ENSPCLG00000017289.1)". Lineage: Eukaryota; Metazoa; Chordata; Aves; Galliformes; Phasianidae. The record is from RNAcentral.
CCAUGUGCAGCCCAGUACAAACUGGGAGCAUCCUAUGUCCAUCCCAGUGUAGACUGGGAGCAUCCUAUGUCCAUCCCAGUUCAAACUGGGAGCAUCCCCAUGUCCAUCCCAGUACAGACUGGGAGCAUCCCAUGUGCAGCCCAGUUCAAACUGGGAGCAUCCCCAUGUCCAUCCCAGUUCAAACUGGGAGCAUCCCCAUGUGCAGCCCAGUUCAAACUGGGAGCAUCCGAGUGUCCAUCCCAGUACACACUGGGACCAUCCCCAUGUGCAGCCCAGUACAGACUGGAAGCAUCCCCAUGUCCAUCCCAGUACAAACUGGGGGCAUCCCCAUGUCCAUCCCAGUUCAAACUGGGAGCAUCCCAAUGUCCAUCCCAGUACAGACUGGGAGCAUCACCAUGUGCAGCCCAGUACAAACUGGGAGCAUCCCAUGUCCUUCCCAGUUCAGACUGGGAGCAUCACCAUGUGCAGCCCAGUACAGACUGGGAGCAUCCCAGUGUCCAUCCCAGUACAAACUGGGAGCAUCCCAGUGUCCAUCCCAGUACAAACUGGGAGCAUCCCCAUGUGCAGCCCAGUACAAACUGGGAGCAUCCCCAUGUGCAGCCCAGUGCAAACUGGGAGCAUCACCCAGUCCAUCCCAGUUCAAACUGGGAGCAUCCCCAUGUGCAGCCCAGUACAGACUGGGAGCAUCACCAUGUGCAGCCCAGUUCAAACUGGGAGCAUCACCCAGUCCAUCCCAGUUCAAACUGGGAGCAUCACCAUGUGCAGCCCAGUACAAACUGGGAGCAUCCCAUGUCCACCCCAGUUCAUACUGGGAGCAUCCCAUGUGCAGCCCAGUUCAUACUGGGAGCAUCCCCAUGUCCAUCCCAGUACAAACUGGGAGCAUCCCAAUGUCCAUCCCAGUUCAAACUGGGAGCAUCACCCAGUUCAUCCCAGUACAAACUGGGGGCAUCCCAUGUCCACCCCAGUUCAUACUGGGAGCAUCCCAGUGUCCAUCCCAGUACAGACUGGGAGCUGGGAGCAUUCCCAUGUCCAUUCCAGUUCAAACUGGGAGCAUCCCAAUGUCCAUCCCAGUUCAAACUGGGAGCAUCCCAAUGUCCAUCCCAGUUCAAACUGGGAGCAUCCUCAUGUGCAGCCCAGUACAAACUGGGAGCAUCCCCAUGUGCAGCCCAGUGCAAACUGGGAGCAUCCCAUGUCCAUCCCAGUUCAAACUGGGAGCAUCACCAUGUGCAGCCCAGUACAAACUGGGAGCAUCCCAUGUCCACCCCAGUUCAUACUGGGAGCAUCCCAGUGUCCAUCCCAGUACAAACUGGGAGCAUCCCCAUGUCCAUCCCAGUUCAAACUGGGAGCAUCACCAUGUGCAUCCCAGUUCAUACUGGGGGCAUCCCAAUGUCCAUCCCAGUACAGACUGGGAGCAUCCCCACGUCCAUCCCAGUACAGCCUGUGGUCUGGGAGCAUCCCCCAUUUGCAUCACAACCCACUGCAGGUCGGCUCAUUUCCAGGCACGCAGCACAGCGAGGCAGCAGCACCACCUAGCGGGGAGCAGCACCACGCUGCAUGCAUCCCAUAAUACCACUCUGCACCACUGCUGCACUGCUGGGACGGAUGCAUCCCAUAACCCCACCCUGCAUUCACACUGCGGUGGUGGGACACAUCCCAUAAUACCACCUUGCACAUCCCAUAAUCCCACCCUGCAUUCACACUGCAGUGCUGCAACACAUCCCAUAAUACCACCCCGCAUUCAUGGGACGCAUCCCAUAAUCCCACCCUGCAUUCACACUGCAGUUCUGGGACGCAUCCCAUAAUCCCAC